RNAcentral lists this ribosomal RNA (435 nucleotides) under uncultured bacterium. Its description in RNAcentral is "partial 16S ribosomal RNA". It matches the Rfam family "Bacterial small subunit ribosomal RNA", at positions 29 to 507 of the family's 1533-position model. The record is from RNAcentral.
AGCGAACGCUGGCGGCAGGCUUAACACAUGCAAGUCGAGCGGGCACUUUCGGGUGUCAGCGGCGGACGGGUGAGUAACGCGUGGGAACGUGCCCUCUGGUUCGGAAUAACUCAGGGAAACUUGAGCUAAUACCGGAUACGCCCUUUUGGGGAAAGGCUUGCUGCCGGAGGAUCGGCCCGCGUCUGAUUAGCUAGUUGGUGAGGUAACGGCUCACCAAGGCGACGAUCAGUAGCUGGUCUGAGAGGAUGAUCAGCCACACUGGGACUGAGACACGGCCCAGACUCCUACGGGAGGCAGCAGUGGGGAAUAUUGGACAAUGGGCGCAAGCCUGAUCCAGCCAUGCCGCGUGAGUGAUGAAGGCCUUAGGGUUGUAAAGCUCUUUUAUCCGGGACGAUAAUGACGGUACCGGAGGAAUACGCCCCGGCUAACUUCGUG